AAUACAUGCAAGUCGAACGCUUUGUGGUUCAACUGAUUUGAAGAGCUUGCUCAGAUAUGACGAUGGACAUUGCAAAGAGUGGCGAACGGGUGAGUAACACGUGGGAAACCUACCUCUUAGCAGGGGAUAACAUUUGGAAACAGAUGCUAAUACCGUAUAACAAUGACAACCGCAUGGUUGUUAUUUAAAAGAUGGUUCUGCUAUCACUAAGAGAUGGUCCCGCGGUGCAUUAGCUAGUUGGUAAGGUAAUGGCUUACCAAGGCGAUGAUGCAUAGCCGAGUUGAGAGACUGAUCGGCCACAAUGGGACUGAGACACGGCCCAUACUCCUACGGGAGGCAGCAGUAGGGAAUCUUCCACAAUGGGCGAAAGCCUGAUGGAGCAACGCCGCGUGUGUGAUGAAGGGUUUCGGCUCGUAAAACACUGUUGUAAGAGAAGAAUGACAUUGAGAGUAACUGUUCAAUGUGUGACGGUAUCUUACCAGAAAGGAACGGCUAAAUACGUGCCAGCAGCCGCGGUAAUACGUAUGUUCCAAGCGUUAUCCGGAUUUAUUGGGCGUAAAGCGAGCGCAGACGGUUAUUUAAGUCUGAAGUGAAAGCCCUCAGCUCAACUGAGGAAUUGCUUUGGAAACUGGAUGACUUGAGUGCAGUAGAGGAAAGUGGAACUCCAUGUGUAGCGGUGAAAUGCGUAGAUAUAUGGAAGAACACCAGUGGCGAAGGCGGCUUUCUGGACUGUAACUGACGUUGAGGCUCGAAAGUGUGGGUAGCAAACAGGAUUAGAUACCCUGGUAGUCCACACCGUAAACGAUGAGUGCUAGGUGUUUGAGGGUUUCCGCCCUUAAGUGCCGCAGCUAACGCAUUAAGCACUCCGCCUGGGGAGUACGACCGCAAGGUUGAAACUCAAAGGAAUUGACGGGGACCCGCACAAGCGGUGGAGCAUGUGGUUUAAUUCGAAGCAACGCGAAGAACCUUACCAGGUCUUGACAUCCCUUGACAACUCCAGAGAUGGAGCGUUCCCUUCGGGGACAAGGUGACAGGUGGUGCAUGGUUGUCGUCAGCUCGUGUCGUGAGAUGUUGGGUUAAGUCCCGCAACGAGCGCAACCCUUAUUACUAGUUGCCAGCAUUCAGUUGGGCACUCUAGUGAGACUGCCGGUGACAAACCGGAGGAAGGUGGGGAUGACGUCAAAUCAUCAUGCCCCUUAUGACCUGGGCUACACACGUGCUACAAUGGCGUAUACAACGAGUUGCCAACCCGCGAGGGUGAGCUAAUCUCUUAAAGUACGUCUCAGUUCGGAUUGUAGGCUGCAACUCGCCUACAUGAAGUCGGAAUCGCUAGUAAUCGCGGAUCAGCACGCCGCGGUGAAUACGUUCCCGGGUCUUGUACACACCGCCCGUCACACCAUGAGAGUUUGUAACACCCAAAGCCGGUGGGGUAACCUUCGGGAGCCAGCCGUC
This 1452-nucleotide ribosomal RNA is filed under the name Weissella confusa. RNAcentral describes it as "bacterial SSU rRNA". It matches the Rfam family "Bacterial small subunit ribosomal RNA". Lineage: Bacteria; Bacillati; Bacillota; Bacilli; Lactobacillales; Lactobacillaceae. The record is from RNAcentral.